This 1145-nucleotide long non-coding RNA is filed under the name Homo sapiens (human). RNAcentral describes it as "HSALNT0176912". Lineage: Eukaryota; Metazoa; Chordata; Mammalia; Primates; Hominidae. The record is from RNAcentral.
CGGAGCCCGGCACUCGUGACCUCGCCAGCUCUCAGCUCCCUCGGGCGAUUUCGUGCACGCUAAUGUGCGCCUCUGUGUUUUCCUAAAUGCUGGUUUCUUCAUCAAGCGGCGGAAUAACGCAUCAGGGCAGGUGACCCACGUCACCGGGGUGAUGCACUGGUGCUCGCCGGGGCGGGCGCUGUGCCUGCGGGAGCCGCGCGGCCGGCGCGGUGUCGGGGCGCCUCGUGGGGGCCGAGCCGCGCCCGCACGUCCCUCAGGUGGAGACAAACAGGAACCUCUACCCUCCUCUGCCUGUUAGUACUGGAUGGUGUGAGCGAGGUCCCCCAGCUGCACCACAGCAGGGCAGGAGACAGCAGGAUUCUCUCCUUGCCAUGGGGAUGAGGACAAAUUCUCCCUUCAUCCUUGAGAUUGGACUCCCGCCACACAUCCUGGAGGAGCCUACAGAGAAGCCGGCAGGUCUCCCUCACCUGGAUGGUGCCAGCGGGUGGCCUGGACCACCCAGAGGCCCUCUCCUGCACCUGACAGGAAGCCCCUGGGGCAUACGUCUCCCCUGCCACUUCCACUGUGGCCACUGGAAGUGUGGCAGAGAAAAUAGCUAGGACAAAAAGAAGUCAAUGAUUUCAACCAACGGAAUUUCUUUGUCCUUUGUAAAAAUCAACACAUGAUCUGUUACUGAUUGGGAUGUGAAAUAAAACUAAAAAUAACAGCACACUGAGCCUGGCUCAGGGCUCAGCUCACCUUUACCACGGUCCAAGUUCAGUUUAUCAGAUCCCAAGGAGCAGCUAAGCAGCAAGUCAAACACAGGUGAGGGUGGAGGGCGGAGGGCGGAGCGGGGAGGGGGCUCUGGCCCUCUGCGUGCCCCCACCAACCCCCAGGUAGAGAACCAGCCAGCUCACCAGGGAGUGUGGCCAAGCAAGAAGCUAUACACAGAAUUCUGAGCCCACACCCUAAUCUGCCUCAGGUGGGGAGGCCACUCACUUCCCUUUUUGCCUCAGUUUCCCCACUGGGGUUACCAGGGUCUUCUGGCACAUUCCCUUGUUUUAAGGAACGGUGGAAGAGGGGUCCCCUUGAGAUCAGGUUAAGCUGUGAAACAUCCUGCCAGCGCCACAGGCCACUGGGUCCUGGAAGGUCAGGCCACAAAGACC